UACGAAGGGUGCAAGCGUUAAUCGGAAUUACUGGGCGUAAAGGGUGCGUAGGCGGUUAGUUAAGUCUGUCGUGAAAUCCCCGGGCUCAACCUGGGAAUGGCGAUGGAUACUGGCUAGCUAGAGUGUGUCAGAGGAUGGUGGAAUUCCCGGUGUAGCGGUGAAAUGCGUAGAGAUCGGGAGGAACAUCAGUGGCGAAGGCGGCCAUCUGGGACAACACUGACGCUGAAGCACGAAAGCGUGGGGAGCAAACAGG
Molecule: ribosomal RNA, 253 nt
Filed under: uncultured bacterium
Lineage: Bacteria
Description: partial 16S ribosomal RNA
Rfam family: Bacterial small subunit ribosomal RNA
Source: RNAcentral